RNAcentral lists this ribosomal RNA (279 nucleotides) under uncultured bacterium. Its description in RNAcentral is "partial 16S ribosomal RNA". It matches the Rfam family "Bacterial small subunit ribosomal RNA", at positions 506 to 784 of the family's 1533-position model. The record is from RNAcentral.
UGCCAGCCGCCGCGGUAAUACGGAGGGUGCAAGCGUUAAUCGGAAUUACUGGGCGUAAAGCGCGCGUAGGCGGAUUGUUAAGUCGGAUGUGAAAGCCCAGGGCUUAACCUUGGAACUGCAUUCGAUACUGGUCAGCUAGAGUACAGUAGAGGCAAGUGGAAUUUCCUGUGUAGAGGUGAAAUUCGUAGAUAUCAGGAGGAACACCUGUGGCGAAGGCGGCCACCUGGACGGGUAUUGACGCUGAGACGCGAAAGCGUGGGUAGCAAACAGGAUUAGAUA